AUUGAACGCUGGCGGCAUGCCUUACACAUGCAAGUCGAACGGUAACGCGGGGCAACCUGGCGACGAGUGGCGAACGGGUGAGUAAAGCAUCGGAACGUGCCCAGUAGUGGGGGAUAGCCCGGCGAAAGCCGGAUUAAUACCGCAUACGACCUACGGGUGAAAGGGGGGGAUCGCAAGACCUCUCGCUAUUGGAGCGGCCGAUGUCAGAUUAGGUAGUUGGUGGGGUAAAGGCCUACCAAGCCUGCGAUCUGUAGCUGGUCUGAGAGGACGACCAGCCACACUGGGACUGAGACACGGCCCAGACUCCUACGGGAGGCAGCAGUGGGGAAUUUUGGACAAUGGGCGCAAGCCUGAUCCAGCCAUGCCGCGUGCGGGAAGGAGGCCUUCGGGUUGUAAACCGCUUUUGUCAGGGAAGAAAAGCCUUGGGUUAAUACCCUGGGGUGAUGACGGUACCUGAAGAAUAAGCACCGGCUAACUACGUGCCAGCAGCCGCGGUAA
RNAcentral lists this ribosomal RNA (498 nucleotides) under uncultured bacterium. RNAcentral's name for it is "partial 16S ribosomal RNA". It matches the Rfam family "Bacterial small subunit ribosomal RNA", at positions 29 to 523 of the family's 1533-position model. The record is from RNAcentral.